This 272-nucleotide ribosomal RNA is filed under the name uncultured bacterium. Its description in RNAcentral is "partial small subunit ribosomal RNA". It matches the Rfam family "Bacterial small subunit ribosomal RNA", at positions 26 to 285 of the family's 1533-position model. The record is from RNAcentral.
AGAAUCAACGCUGGCGGCGUGCCUAACACAUGCAAGUCGAACGCGAAAGUCCCGAAAGGGAUAAGUAGAGUGGCAAACGGGUGAGUAACACGUGGGUGACCUGCCUUCGAGCGGGGGAUAACGUCCCGAAAGGGACGCUAAUACCGCAUAACAUCCUGCCUUUUAAGAGGUGGAGAUCAAAGCCGGGGACCGCAAGGCCUGGCACUUGAAGAGGGGCCCGCGUCUGAUUAGCUAGUUGGUGGGGUAAUGGCCUACCAAGGCAACGAUCAGUA